GACGAACGCUGGCGGCGUGCUUAACACAUGCAAGUCGAACGGAAAAGCGCCUGCUUGCAUGGGGACUCGAGUGGCGAAGGGGAGAGGAACACGAGAGGGAUCUGCCCUGCACUUCGGGAUAAGCCAGGGAAACGGGGGCGAGGAUCGGAUAGGACCACAUGUGGCAGUGGGUGGUUGAGUGUGGUUCGGAGAGGGAUGAGGUCGGGGCCUAUCAGCCGGUCGGUGGGGUAAUGGCCUACCCAGGCGUGGACGGGUAGCCGGCCUGAGAGGGUGUAAGGCCACAUUGAGACUCAGACACGGGCCAGACGCCUGCGGGAGGCAGCAGUGGGGGAUAUUGCGAAACGGGCGCACGCCUGAUGGAGUGACGCCGUGUGGGUGAUGACCGCCUUUCGGUAGUAAACUAGUUUCGCUAGGGACGAAGCGCAGGUGACGGUACCUGGAGAAGAAGCACCGGCUAACUACGU
Molecule: ribosomal RNA, 464 nt
Filed under: uncultured bacterium
Lineage: Bacteria
Description: partial 16S ribosomal RNA
Rfam family: Bacterial small subunit ribosomal RNA
Source: RNAcentral